Molecule: long non-coding RNA, 2391 nt
Organism: Anolis carolinensis (green anole)
Lineage: Eukaryota; Metazoa; Chordata; Lepidosauria; Squamata; Anolidae
Exons: 2
Source: RefSeq, a predicted model, not a curated record
CAUAUUUCCCCAUCUUCUAGCAAUAUGAUGUCGUCACAAAAUUCCAAAUACUGGUGUGUUGCCAUAUUUAUUUAAGAAAGGAAAUUGAAACAGAAUCUGUGAAUAUUUCUGAGCAUCCUGAAUAUAUUUUUAAAAGACUUCUAUUUUUUUUUAAAAAAAAUAAUAAUCCAGAAUUGUUGUGCUUCUCUGGGGGAUGAAACACUAUACAUUAUUUACUACUCUCAUUACAGGUAUAUAGUGCUGUUACUGAAAUAGAUGCAUUCCUGGGCAUUGUUUCUUUUACAAAUAAUUCAGGACCAGAGGCAGAAAUAAAAAGUAAAAUUGAGACAGUGGGUUGCUGUGAGUUUUCCGGGCUGUAUGGCCAUGUUCCGGAAACAUGACCAUUCAACCUGGAAAACUCACAGCAACCCAGUGAUUCCAGCCAUGAAAGCCUUCAACAUUUACUACAUUCAAAAAGACUUAGUUCUAACAUAUUUUAGCAGACUUUUUAUUCAAAAUCUAUAAUAUGCACAUGUGACAUGAGCCUACUAGGAGGCGUAUCUAGAUUGUAAAAUGAAUGCAGUUUGAUUGACAUCACUUCAGUGGACAGGGAGGAAUGCUAUGGAAUCCUGGGAUUUGUAGUUUGGUGAGUCACCAACGUUCCUUGGCAAUGAAGGCUGAAGACAUUGUAAAACUGCACCUUCCAUGAUUCCAUACCAUUCAGACAUGGCAGUUAAAGUGGUGUCAAACUGCACUCUGAGAAAUAAGAGCAUAAGAACUUGUUACUAGAAUCCAGUGAAACUAAUUCAACACAAUCAAAUUAAAAACAAAUUGAAAAGCAUACCAAUAAAAAAGUUGACUAUAUCUUUGGUCUUACUCCCCCUGGUCUCCCUUAAAAAGCCCUUUCCUCAGCAUCCAAUCAUCUGAUCAUAGCCUUCUGGAAUUAAAAAAAGGUCUUUGCCUGCCAGCAAAAGGACAAGCAUCCCAUUACAUUUUAUGAUAAUAGCACAGUUUUAUUGAUAUUUGCAUUCUUGGUAUUUCUCAGCUACUCUGUGCACCUAUUUCCAGCAGGAUGUGUAAAUAAUAGCUACAUAAAUAAAUGGUUAUGCUCCACGAGACACUGAAUUAGAAAAAGGUGGUGAGUUUUGGAGAGGCAGGGGAUACCUGGGGAGAAUACGAUCCUUUCUCAGGACAGGAUGAAUCAGAGAAACCAGAAACUCUAGGAAAAAGUAUAAGGAUAUCCUUGAGGCUUUUGAUUGGGCACAUUUUUGCUAAUGGAACUGCUCUCUGCUUGUGCUGAGCAACACAAAUUCUCUGUGUUCCUUAGCAGAAAUACAAUGUUAUGGUUGAGCCUUCUGGCUCCGGUACUAGGAGACGGGGUCGUAAGACUCCUCGAGAGUCAGACUCUUUUGAGGAGUGUGAAAGGAAACGGCUCCGGGACUUAUUUGCAGAACCAACAGAUGAAGACUCAUUUGAGGGUUUUACCGAGGGAAUGGAGGAAGAGAUGGUUAGCUCAGAGGAGGAUGACAUGGAGUGGACUCGUGUGAGGGAGGAUUUGGGUGUCACCGGCAAUGAUAGCAUGGGAGGCGAUUGGCGGGUUGCAGGAUCAGACCCAUGGACGGGCUGGAGGGAUGGAGCGGGAUCCACAGCUGGGGAUGCUGUGGGGCGUAGUCAAAGGUGUUUUAGCUCUGAUGAGGAUGAUGAUGAUGAGGCACCUGGAAUUAGGAUAGCAGCUGACAGCGAUGAGGAGUUAUGAACUGGGAUAAAAUGGGGUUUAGGAUCAAUGGCUAAUUGCGUUGGGCAAGGUAAUCUGGACGAACGCUUGGGCUCUUGUUGGGGAACUUCCUAAAGACGGGUGUGAUUCGUUGCUGGAUACCUUGGACCUCCGUCGUCUUUUUGACGGACAUUAAUUACCUACUCUGGAUUGACGCUGGACUGACUGACUGACUACGACCUUGGACUAUCCCUUCUGUGGCUAUCGGUGGAACUUGUGGAACUUUAGACGUCUGCGCUUGGCUUUCGACCUUGGACCGGAUUGGGACCCUGCUGACCGCCGUUACCCUGAUUGAUGUGCCUGGACCUGGAUUUCGCUCGUUGCACGGAGGAGUAAACAGCCUGAGUUACUCAUCUGUAGCUUUUGAGUAGCAGAGAGGAAUCUGCUGCCAGUUUUUUGUGUUCAUUUUGACCUCUGUUUACCAACUUUUGUUUGUUUAAAUUGCCAGGCUGAAGUAAGCACUUUUGAUUUAAUCCGGAUUAAACUCCUGUUUAAUCCGGUUUAUUCUUUCGAACCGUUUUAAUUCAAACGGAGCUGUUUCUGUUACUUUUCACACUGAAGACAAGUGUUUGCCUAGUCCUUUGCUUCCUACGGGCAUUUUUUAGUUCUGUAACUUCAAUAAACUGUGUUGUACUCUA